RNAcentral lists this transfer RNA (73 nucleotides) under Ictidomys tridecemlineatus (thirteen-lined ground squirrel). Its description in RNAcentral is "Spermophilus tridecemlineatus (thirteen-lined ground squirrel) tRNA". It matches the Rfam family "tRNA". From Rfam's summary of the family: Transfer RNA (tRNA) molecules are approximately 80 nucleotides in length. Their secondary structure includes four short double-helical elements and three loops (D, anti-codon, and T loops). Further hydrogen bonds mediate the characteristic L-shaped molecular structure. tRNAs have two regions of fundamental functional importance: the anti-codon, which is responsible for specific mRNA codon recognition, and the 3' end, to which the tRNAs corresponding amino acid is attached (by aminoacyl-tRNA synthetases). tRNAs cope with the degeneracy of the genetic code in two manners: having more than one tRNA (with a specific anti-codon) for a particular amino acid; and 'wobble' base-pairing, i.e. permitting non-standard base-pairing at the 3rd anti-codon position. The record is from Rfam by way of RNAcentral. Lineage: Eukaryota; Metazoa; Chordata; Mammalia; Rodentia; Sciuridae.
GGGGAUUUAGCUCAGUUGGUAGAGUGCUUGCCUCUCAUGCACAAGAUCCUGGGUUCAAUCCCCAGCACCACUA